Molecule: transfer RNA, 69 nt
Filed under: Monacoa griseus
Lineage: Eukaryota; Metazoa; Chordata; Actinopteri; Argentiniformes; Opisthoproctidae
Description: Monacoa sp. JYP-2016a tRNA-Phe
Source: RNAcentral
GUUAGCGUAGCUUAAAUAAAAGCAUGACACUGAAGAUGUUAAGAUAGACCCUAGGAAGUCCCGCAGGCA